Molecule: ribosomal RNA, 253 nt
Filed under: uncultured bacterium
Lineage: Bacteria
Description: partial 16S ribosomal RNA
Rfam family: Bacterial small subunit ribosomal RNA
Source: RNAcentral
UACGUAGGGUGCAAGCGUUAAUCGGAAUUACUGGGCGUAAAGCGUGCGCAGGCGGUUUUGUAAGUCUGAUGUGAAAGCCCCGGGCUCAACCUGGGAAUUGCAUUGGAGACUGCAAGGCUAGAAUCUGGCAGAGGGGGGUAGAAUUCCACGUGUAGCAGUGAAAUGCGUAGAGAUGUGGAGGAACACCGAUGGCGAAGGCAGCCCCCUGGGUCAAGAUUGACGCUCAUGCACGAAAGCGUGGGGAGCAAACAGG